GUCAACAGACACAUUCCAGCCAAUCAGCAGCAGACCCUCCUCCCAGACCCUCCCACCUCCUGGACAGCAUCCAUUUUACAUUCAUUGUAAAGCUGCAUUCUUAGUGAGCUGUCCAGGAGGUGGGAGGGUCUGGGAGGGAGGGUAUGCUGCUGAUUGGCUGGAAUGUGUCUGCUG
RNAcentral lists this microRNA precursor (174 nucleotides) under Pelobates cultripes (western spadefoot toad). The record is from RNAcentral. Lineage: Eukaryota; Metazoa; Chordata; Amphibia; Anura; Pelobatidae.